This 33-nucleotide ribosomal RNA is filed under the name Phytophthora colocasiae. RNAcentral's name for it is "partial 18S ribosomal RNA". Lineage: Eukaryota; Oomycota; Peronosporomycetes; Peronosporales; Peronosporaceae. The record is from RNAcentral.
CUUCCGUUUGGGGGACCUGCGGAAGGAUCAUUA